Non-coding RNA from Myodes glareolus (Bank vole), 1199 nucleotides. The record is from RefSeq and is a predicted model, not a curated record. Lineage: Eukaryota; Metazoa; Chordata; Mammalia; Rodentia; Cricetidae.
UGACCCUGAGGAGGGGAGGCAUGUUGGCAGAGGCAUCAGAAAACCCCCUGGAGAGUCUGGGUCUUGGCACCUGCUGGGACCGGCCUCAGGGAGGAGCUUCCUGACCUCAGAGGAGCCGCCCUGCAGUUCUCCAGGUCUCAGUGUCCUCAUUUACAAGACAAGAAUAGCUGCGCCCACCACACUCAUAAGGCUGCUCAGAUGGUGCUUGGCACAUGGCACACAGUUGAGCCGGUCUGAAAGAACUGCCAGGAGACAUCCUGUUGGCCAUGAUGUUUGAAUGAUGAUUUCACAGACCUAGAGCUUUCCAAGAAUGGGAAUUACAGGCACGAGCUAAGGAUGUCUUUUACACAUCAGUCUUUGGAGCACCUCUUUCCCAUUUCUACUUCUUUUCGUGCUAUGGAUAGAACUCAGUGCUCAUACAUACCAGGCAAGUGUCUCCCACUGAGCCACACCCCUGCCUCUCCGGUUAGUUAUUCUGUGAGGCAGGAAAGAUACAUAUGGACCCAUCAAACAGAUAAAGAGAUUAAGAUCCAGAGGCCUCAGGGCUUGCCUAAGGGGCCAGUUUAAUAAAGCAAUAGUCGUUUGUCAUGCUACCUCAGGGAAUGAUGACCAUAGAAGCUUUACUUCAAGGUGCUCUGGGGACAAUGUCUGGGUCAGGAUCUAGGUCUGUCUCAGUGGGACUCCCCAGGGAGGAGAGAGGAAAGGUCUAUCUGGGAUGAUACCUAGGCAAGCCCUCUGAAAGGUGAGUCUGAGGUCUCCUGAGCUGUCUUGAAGCAGAUACUUUGCUACACUCCUGGGCCUGGUACCUUUACCUGCAGGAGGAGAAUGGAGAGUCCCCGAAAGCAGGCAGGAAUCAGACAGAGCCAGUGAGAGGCCAGUUGCAUGUUCACAUCUGGGACCUGCCUGUCUUCCUGAGCACGGCUUGACUUUUUCACCAGGUGCUAACACCAUCCCAAUGUCUAGACCCCACUAAGGUCCUGUGUGUGGGUGCAUGAAGAGACAUGAAGCCCAGUGGUGGGGCCAGGGAGUUUCUAGCAGGGAGGGGGCACCAGAUCCUUCUGAACCAGGCAUGCCUGGUUCCAGGGUAGUCUUCACUGAGAGUCCCUGCCAGGGUGGAGCAGUGAGGGUGGGCAGUCAUGAUGGGAAGAGGAGGACCAGGCCAUGAGGGGCUGUGGGGACAGUAGAGGAGUUCAAGGUGC